RNAcentral lists this long non-coding RNA (1230 nucleotides) under Mytilus galloprovincialis (Mediterranean mussel). The record is from RNAcentral. Lineage: Eukaryota; Metazoa; Mollusca; Bivalvia; Mytilida; Mytilidae.
AAAGACAGCAAAGGUCAGGAAAAAAUCGGAGAUGUGUUCAGAAUAAAAUAUACAAAUUUCCCAAUUUCAAUAAAAAAUAUGCAUUUUUCCCAAUAAAAAACGGUAGAGGUAGUUUUAAAAAAAGACAACAAUAUCACUGAUUUAAAUUUCUACUCCAGGAUUCUUUUUUUACAAAACCAAAUACUUGACCAAAGGGAAGUAAUUCAAAAUUUGAACUGCAAAUUCUAGAUUCAUUCACAGUAAAUGUUAUAUUACAAUGACACAUUUAUAUGACAUUAGGUAUUAUAUUUUGCAUCCUGUUGGAAUCCAUAUUUUAACAGCAAAUGAUAUUAAAAUAAUGAAUCAAGAUAUGUAUUUAUACAAAUUUUUAUCUUACUUAUUCACUGGCUUGGUUUCCUACAGAAUGCAAAGAAAGUCAUUGAUUGUGCAAUUAAUUUAUUGUUUUUGUUGUUGACUAUAAUUAUGGAAAAGAUAGUGGUCUUUUCUGUGAGUUUUAGAUAGUUCUAUCAAUCAUUUAACAUGUAUAAGGUAGGGAAGGCUCCCUUAAGUUGCAGAUAGAAAAGGAGAGUUGUAAUCUACCUUUUAUCCAUUAUGAAUAUAUCCUGAUAUUCAAAUUAACAUGGUUCCCUAACUUUCCCUGUUGUUUUGUUUUGUGUGUUAAAUUUGUAUGCUUUCUUUCAUCAACACUGGAUCAUGCUUUAAUCUAAAUGCUAAGUAUACAUCAUUUUAUAUAAAUUCAUGAUCACCAUUUUCAUUAAUUGCAUUUUUUUCUGAUUCAUUUUAAAGAAAAUAUUUAAAACAUAUUAUAGAAAAAAUGUUUUAUACUGAUAAAACAUAUUAAAACAUAUUGAUAAAAAUAAAAACAAAUAACAGAAAUGAUCAAUAAAUAAAAAAAUAUUUAACAGCUUGAAAAUGCUGUUGGUCUAAAAAGGAUUAAAAAAAGUUGUCAAAUUAUUAAAAAAUAUUGAACAUACAAAAUGUACAUAGAUAUGGAAUAAAUGUACUGCAAACUUAAGCAAACUUGAAAAUUGCAUGACAAAAGCCCAUCACACGAAAAAAAACCAACCGCUAUAAUUAAGGUGUUAUUGGUAUAUUUGAAUCUGUAUUUAUGAUAUAAGUAUAUGAAGAAGUUAUGUAGUAUUUUGAUUGUUAUUAUUGUUUUGUAAAAAGUGCUGUGUAUUUUUUGUACAUAAUAGAUUAAAUAAACUACAUGAAUAAAAAAAUUAAAAC